UACAGAGGGUGCGAGCGUUAAUCGGAAUUACUGGGCGUAAAGGGUGCGUAGGUGGUCAGUUAAGUUAGAUGUGAAAUCCCUGGGCUUAACCUAGGAAUGGCAUAUAAUACUGAUUGGCUAGAGCUUGGGUGAGGGAAGUGGAAUUUCCGGUGUAGCGGUGAAAUGCGUAGAUAUCGGAAGGAACACCAGUGGCGAAGGCGACUUCCUGGCCCGAUACUGACACUGAGGCACGAAAGCGUGGGGAGCGAAC
RNAcentral lists this ribosomal RNA (250 nucleotides) under uncultured bacterium. Its description in RNAcentral is "partial 16S ribosomal RNA". It matches the Rfam family "Bacterial small subunit ribosomal RNA", at positions 524 to 773 of the family's 1533-position model. The record is from RNAcentral.